GAAAUGCGAUAACUAGUGUGAAUUGCAGAAUUCCGUGAAUCAUCGAGUCUUUGAACGCACAUUGCGCCCCCUGGUAUUCCGAGGGGCAUGCCUGUCCGAGCGUCAUUGCUGCCCAUCAAGCACGGCUUGUGUGUUGGGUCGUCGUCCCCUCUCCGGGGGGGACGGGCCCCAAAGGCAGCGGCGGCACCGCGUCCGAUCCUCGAGCGUAUGGGGCUUUGUCACCCGCUCUGUAGGCCCGGCCGGCGCUUGCCGAACGCAAAUCAAUCUUUUUCCAGGUUGACCUCGGAUCAGGUAGGGAUACCCGCUGAACUUAAGC
RNAcentral lists this unclassified non-coding RNA (316 nucleotides) under plant metagenome. RNAcentral's name for it is "partial contains 5.8S ribosomal RNA, internal transcribed spacer 2, and large subunit ribosomal RNA". The stretch from base 1 to 105 matches the Rfam family "5.8S ribosomal RNA", at positions 50 to 154 of the family's 154-position model. The record is from RNAcentral.